GUAUAAAAUGAGAGAGAAAAGGCGAAAGUAAGUCAGUCGAGGGAGCAUCUCCGACACGGCAACAACUACAGCGCUCUGUCUGUCAGUUCGCAUCCAUGGCAAACUAUGGCGUAGUGCUGCUGUUGUGUGUUGAAUCAUUGAUGGCUGGGUCGACCACUGGUGUACCGAUGUCUUCUUGGUAUGGCGGAUACCGCCGCCGCCUUACUACCCAAAAGCAACUUACUCAACGACCAGUUACUGCACCGAGGUCAAGUACUACACCACUAAAGCACCGGACUUGAAUAGCACAACUUACGCUGCCCCGAGCCAUUACACUGAUGCCCUGAAGUAUUACUGUGCCCCGAGUUACUACACCACCAAGGCGACGGAGGAUGACUACGCAUGCUGCCCAUCCUCCAAGGCUCAUACACUGAGGCUCCUACACCGAGGCUCCUAACUGCUACACCGAGGCUCCCGCUGAUUACUACACCGAAGCGGCAAAGUACUACUCUGCCCCGAUCUACACAACCACAACUGAGGCGGCCAAGUAUUACGCUGUCCCAACUUACUGCACAGAAGCUGCCCUUUCGUACUACGUUGAACAGGAAUACUACACUGAUGCUCCAAUUCACUACACCACGACCUACGCUACACCGCAGCCCCCAAGUACUACACCGAAGAAGGCGCCUACAACAACGUAUGCUGCCUAGUUUACUACACCGAGGCUCCCAAGUACUACAUCACUAAGGCACCGGAAUUCUACACGUCUAUGUAUGCUACCCCUGCCCACUACACCGAGGCCCCGCAUUACUACAACACUGAAGCGCUCAAGUACUACACUAUAACCUGUGCUUCCCCGAGCUACUACACCUUCGUCCCGAAGUGUUACUGUGCGUAAAAGGAGUCUUAAAAAAAAAGAAGUGCCCGAACUGCAGUGCCCUAUCUGUCACCAACUGCAUUCCUCAUCGUGUAAACGAUUCGCAAUUAUGGUCAACUAUGGCGUCGUGCUCCUGUUGGGUGUUGUAUCGUUGAUGGCUGGGUCGACCACUGGUGUACCGAUGUCUACUUGGUAUGGCGCAAACCAAACAGCAACGCCACCGCCUUCCUAC
Molecule: long non-coding RNA, 1088 nt
Organism: Daphnia pulicaria
Lineage: Eukaryota; Metazoa; Arthropoda; Branchiopoda; Diplostraca; Daphniidae
Exons: 4
Source: RefSeq, a predicted model, not a curated record